This 319-nucleotide unclassified non-coding RNA is filed under the name uncultured fungus. RNAcentral describes it as "partial contains 5.8S ribosomal RNA, internal transcribed spacer 2, and large subunit ribosomal RNA". The stretch from base 1 to 52 matches the Rfam family "5.8S ribosomal RNA", at positions 103 to 154 of the family's 154-position model. Lineage: Eukaryota; Fungi. The record is from RNAcentral.
AACGCACCUUGCACUCUUUGGUAUUCCGAAGAGUAUGUCUGUUUGAGUGUCGUGAAACUCUCAACCCCCUUGUUUUGUAAUGAGACAGGCUGUGGGCUUGGAUUAUGGCUGUUCUGUCGGAUCUUAAUCAGACCGGCUCGGCUGAAAUAUACGAGCGGACCCGUGCAUAUGAAAUGCAGCGACGGUUUGACUUGGCGUAAUAAUUCUUUUCGCUGAGGACGUCUAGCACUUUUUCAAUUGUAUACGUGGUUGCUUCUAAUACACAAUCACCUCUUAAGCUUUAGACCUCAAAUCAGGCAGGGCUACCCGCUGAACUUAA